RNAcentral lists this ribosomal RNA (253 nucleotides) under uncultured bacterium. Its description in RNAcentral is "partial 16S ribosomal RNA". It matches the Rfam family "Bacterial small subunit ribosomal RNA", at positions 524 to 776 of the family's 1533-position model. The record is from RNAcentral.
GACGAACCGUGCGAACGUUGUUCGGAAUCAUUGGGCUUAAAGGGCGCGUAGGCGGGCCCGCAAGUCAGGGGUGAAAUCCCACGGCUCAACCGUGGAAGUGCCUCUGAUACUGCGGGCCUCGAGGGGGGUAGGGGCGUGCGGAACUUCCGGUGGAGCGGUGAAGUGCGUAGAUAUCGGAAGGAACACCGGUGGCGAAAGCGGCGCGCUGGACCCCUUCUGACGCUGAGGCGCGAAAGCCAGGGGAGCAAACGGG